AGCGAACGCUGGCGGCAGGCUUAACACAUGCAAGUCGAGCGGGCACUUCGGUGUCAGCGGCAGACGGGUGAGUAACACGUGGGAACGUACCCUUCGGUUCGGAAUAACGCUGGGAAACUAGCGCUAAUACCGGAUACGCCCUUUUGGGGAAAGGUUUACUGCCGAAGGAUCGGCCCGCGUCUGAUUAGCUAGUUGGUGGGGUAAUGGCCUAACAAGGCGACGAUCAGUAGCUGGUCUGAGAGGAUGAUCAGCCACACUGGGACUGAGACACGGCCCAGACUCCUACGGGAGGCAGCAGUGGGGAAUAUUGGACAAUGGGCGCAAGCCUGAUCCAGCCAUGCCGCGUGAGUGAUGAAGGCCUUAGGGUUGUAAAGCUCUUUUGUCCGGGACGAUAAUGACGGUACCGGAAGAAUAAGCCCCGGCUAACUUCGUG
RNAcentral lists this ribosomal RNA (433 nucleotides) under uncultured bacterium. Its description in RNAcentral is "partial 16S ribosomal RNA". It matches the Rfam family "Bacterial small subunit ribosomal RNA", at positions 29 to 507 of the family's 1533-position model. The record is from RNAcentral.